CCGAGAUUAUGGAAUUAAACCAAUAAAUAAAAGCAAGGAUAAUUGUGUGUUAUUGCUUCCGGUCUUCCACGACCCGACCGGAGAAAAAGACGUGUUUGUGAACACGAAAUGCUAUGAGACUGGGUUGGCGGUAGCUGAGCGUGGACAGAACACCUCCAGAAGAACCAGCAUUUCAAUUAUUAUACUACAAGUGAAAAUAUAUUGUGGAUCAUUGAGACAGCGUGGCGUCCAGAGUCUUAUCCCGUUUUCCCACUUCCUCUGAGGGGACAGCACGGAGCCCCCCUCCGCAUGAAGACAUCCGCACCAAACAUUGCGUAGGCUACCGGCGAGGAAAGUGCGUACAUCACUUCCUACGCCGGUUUCCCUUUAUAAAUCACAAUCGACUCGAAAUGCGGCGCAGCUUUUGCGGGCUUC
Gymnodraco acuticeps is the source of this 414-nucleotide long non-coding RNA. RefSeq lists it as uncharacterized. The record is from RefSeq and is a predicted model, not a curated record. NCBI's taxonomy places the organism in Eukaryota, Metazoa, Chordata, Actinopteri, Perciformes, Bathydraconidae. The transcript has 3 exons.